RNAcentral lists this ribosomal RNA (665 nucleotides) under uncultured Cryptomonadaceae. Its description in RNAcentral is "bacterial SSU rRNA". It matches the Rfam family "Bacterial small subunit ribosomal RNA", at positions 62 to 767 of the family's 1533-position model. Lineage: Eukaryota; Cryptophyceae; Cryptomonadales; Cryptomonadaceae. The record is from RNAcentral.
UCGCACGAGAGUUUUUAACUCUAGUGGCGGACGGGUGAGUAACACGUGAGAAUCUGCCCUUAGGAGGAGGAUAACAGCUGGAAACGGUUGCUAAUACUCCAUAUGCUGAAAAGUGAAAUGGAUUUAUCUGCCUAAGGAGGAGCUCGCGUCUGAUUAGCUAGUUGGUAGGGUAACGGCCUACCAAGGCGACGAUCAGUAGCUGGUUUGAGAGGACGAUCAGCCACACUGGGACUGAGACACGGCCCAGACUCCUACGGGAGGCAGCAGUGGGGAAUUUUCCGCAAUGGGCGAAAGCCUGACGGAGCAAUACCGCGUGAGGGAUGACAGCCUGUGGGUUGUAAACCUCUUUUCUCAAGGAAGAAGUUCUGACGGUACUUGAGGAAUAAGCAUCGGCUAACUCUGUGCCAGCAGCCGCGGUAAUACAGAGGAUGCAAGCGUUAUCCGGAAUCACUGGGCAUAAAGCGUCUGUAGGUUGUUUAGUAAGUCUGCUGUUAAAGACUAGGGCUCAACCCUAGGCCAGCAGUGGAAACUGCUAGACUUGAGUGUGGUAGAGGUAAAGGGAAUUCCUAGUGUAGCGGUGAAAUGCGUAGAUAUUAGGAAGAACACCAAUGGCGAAAGCACUUUUACUGGGCCAUAACUGACACUGAGAGACGACAGCUAGGGGA